GAUUACAUGUCAUUCUAGCAAAUCAAUCAUUGCUCUCAAUCCCGGCCCUAUAGGAAGGUUUGACAACUAGUGGCAAUCACGGCCCCACUCGGCACGACCUUUAAUUAGGUGGUCCAUCACGGUCUCACUGGGCACGACCUCUCAUAGGUGGUCCAUUACGGCCUCACUGGGCACGACCUCUCCUAGGUGGUACAUCACGGCCUCACUGGGCACGACCUCUCCUAGGUGGUACAUCACGG
RNAcentral lists this long non-coding RNA (239 nucleotides) under Eucalyptus grandis. RNAcentral describes it as "long non-coding RNA (EGRA_LNC004464)". The record is from RNAcentral. Lineage: Eukaryota; Viridiplantae; Streptophyta; Magnoliopsida; Myrtales; Myrtaceae.